This 230-nucleotide ribosomal RNA is filed under the name uncultured bacterium. Its description in RNAcentral is "partial 16S ribosomal RNA". It matches the Rfam family "Bacterial small subunit ribosomal RNA", at positions 99 to 334 of the family's 1533-position model. The record is from RNAcentral.
CGGGCGGGUGAGUAUGUGGUGGAACUGCCUGAUGGAGGGGGAUAACUACUGGAAACGGUAGCUAAUACCGCAUAACGUCGCAAGACCAAAGAGGGGGACCUUCGGGCCUCUUGCCAUCGGAUGUGCCCAGAUGGGAUUAGCUAGUAGGUGGGGUAACGGCUCACCUAGGCGACGAUCCCUAGCUGGUCUGAGAGGAUGACCAGCCACACUGGAACUGAGACACGGUCCAG